GAGCAGAACAUCUCUCUGGCAUACAGAAGUUACUCCGAUCACAUCUGAGGCUACACUUAGACUCCUCAUCCUCUAGAUGGACUCUCUUCUUUCUACUACUAAAGACCACCAUGGUUUCAGUCUCAUGUCAUGUCCAUGAAGCUGUGUUGUUCACAUCUUCAUUCCUGUUAUGGCCAACAUCAAUAUUCAUUAUGAUACCUACUACUUUAAUUUGAGGACUAUAUAUAGUUUAGGAUAGCCUCAGAUAGCCUCAUAAUUAUAGAGAAAGCUGGAAAAUGGUUUGCCUUGGAUUAUGAUUUCUGUUUCUAUCACACUGAACUUGGCCUUUAAAGGUCUCAAAACCCAAA
Long non-coding RNA from Gorilla gorilla gorilla (western lowland gorilla), 347 nucleotides. RefSeq lists it as uncharacterized. The transcript has 2 exons. NCBI's taxonomy places the organism in Eukaryota, Metazoa, Chordata, Mammalia, Primates, Hominidae. The record is from RefSeq and is a predicted model, not a curated record.